Molecule: ribosomal RNA, 507 nt
Filed under: Glomus sp. Glo14b
Lineage: Eukaryota; Fungi; Glomeromycota; Glomeromycetes; Glomerales; Glomeraceae
Description: SSU rRNA
Rfam family: Eukaryotic small subunit ribosomal RNA
Source: RNAcentral
AGCAGCCGCGGUAAUUCCAGCUCCAAUAGCGUAUAUUAAAGUUGUUGCAGUUAAAAAGCUCGUAGUUGAAUUUCGGGAUCAAUCUAUCGGUCGUGCAAUUGUACGUACUGAUUUUAUUGAUUCCUCCCUUCUGAUGAACUAUGAUGUCAUUAAUUUGGUGUCAUAGGGAAUCAGGACUGUUACUUUGAAAAAAUUAGAGUGUUUAAAGCAGGCUCACGCUUGAAUACAUUAGCAUGGAAUAACGGAAUAGGACGUUUGAUUCUAUUUUGUUGGUUUCUAGGAUCGACGUAAUGAUUAAUAGGGAUAGUUGGGGGCAUUAGUAUUCAAUUGUCAGAGGUGAAAUUCUUGGAUUUAUUGAAGACUAACUACUGCGAAAGCAUUUGCCAAGGAUGUUUUCAUUAAUCAAGAACGAAAGUUAGGGGAUCGAAGACGAUCAGAUACCGUCGUAGUCUUAACCAUAAACUAUGCCGACUAGGGAUCGGAUGAUGUUAAUUUUUUAAUGACUCA